This 497-nucleotide ribosomal RNA is filed under the name uncultured bacterium. RNAcentral's name for it is "partial 16S ribosomal RNA". It matches the Rfam family "Bacterial small subunit ribosomal RNA", at positions 28 to 507 of the family's 1533-position model. The record is from RNAcentral.
GAUGAACGCUGGCGGCGUGCCUAAUACAUGCAAGUCGAGCGAACAGACGAGGAGCUUGCUCCUCUGACGUUAGCGGCGGACGGGGGAGUAACACGUGGAUAACCUACCUAUAAGACUGGGAUAACUUCGGGAAACCGGAGCUAAUACCGGAUAAUAUAUUGAACCGCAUGGUUCAAUAGUGAAAGACGGUUUUGCUGUCACUUAUAGAUGGAUCCGCGCCGCAUUAGCUAGUUGGUAAGGUAACGGCUUACCAAGGCAACGAUGCGUAGCCGACCUGAGAGGGUGAUCGGCCACACUGGAACUGAGACACGGUCCAGACUCCUACGGGAGGCAGCAGUAGGGAAUCUUCCGCAAUGGGCGAAAGCCUGACGGAGCAACGCCGCGUGAGUGAUGAAGGUCUUCGGAUCGUAAAACUCUGUUAUUAGGGAAGAACAAAUGUGUAAGUAACUAUGCACGUCUUGACGGUACCUAAUGAGAAAGCCACGGCUAACUACGUG